Podarcis lilfordi (Lilford's wall lizard) is the source of this 202-nucleotide non-coding RNA. NCBI's taxonomy places the organism in Eukaryota, Metazoa, Chordata, Lepidosauria, Squamata, Lacertidae. The record is from the annotation of a GenBank genome assembly.
CCCUGGACCAGAGCACGCCAGGCACUCCUGUCUUCCACUGCCUCCCGCAGUUUGGUCAAACUCAUGCUGGUAGCUUCGAGAACACUGUCCCACCAUCUCGUCCUCUGUCGUCCCCUUCUCCUUGUGCCCUCCAUCUUUCCCAACAUCAGGGUCUUUUCCAGGGAGUCUUCUCUUCUCCUGAGGUGGCCAAAGUCUUGGAGCC